CCUCUUGAAUUACCAAAAUAAGGAAGUGCAUCUCCUUACCAAUGUUGCUUAAAUUACUCAAACAAGGAAGUGUGUCUUUUAACCAAUGCCGCUUGAAUUACUCAAACAAGGAAGUGCGUCUCCUCACAUAUGUUUCUUGAAUUAACCAAACAAGGAAGUGCAUCUCCUUACAAAUGUUUCAUGAAUUAACCAAACAAGAAAGUGUGUAUUCUUAUAAAUUUUGUUCGAAUUGCCCAAGCAAGGAAGUGCAUCUCCUUUCAAAUGUUGCUUGAAUUAACAAACAAGGAAGUGCGUCUCCUUACAAAUGUUACUUGAAUUAUCAAAACAAGAAAGUGCGUCUCCUAACAAAUGUCUCUUGAAUUAAUCAAACAAGGAAGUGUGUCUCCUUAUAAACAUUUCUUGAUUUAACCAAACAAGAAAGUGCAUCUCCUUACAAAUAUUUCAUGAAUUAACCAAACAAGAAAAUGCUUCUCCUUACCAAUGUUUCUUGAAUUACCAAAAUAAGGAAGUGUGUCUCCUUACCAAAACAAGGAAGUGCGUCUCCUAACCCAUGUCUCUUGAAUUUCCCAAACAAGGAAGUGCAUCUCCUCACAAAUGUUGUUUGAAUUACCCAAACAAAGAAGUGGGUCUCCUUACAAGGAAGUGUAUCUCCUAGAAAUCUUGAAUUAUGAGUUUUACUAUGGUUUUGAUUACCAAACUUGUGCAGCAACAUUGCCUUUUGCAUUUGUAGAAGUGAGAAAUUACGGCCUUUGAUGUUUAGGAUCUGAAAUCCUUGAUAUGAAAGCAACAUGUGUUCCUGUUUUAUACAAAGAAAACUUGUGAGUUUAAAAAUAUGGUGGCUGGUUUGUGGCUUUGGAUUUCGAGUCAAUCACACUUGCCCUGAUCACAUUUAACCUUACUUACAACCAUUAGCAUAUGUCAUUGACUUGUGGCAUCGUGACCCAAACUCAGAUUAUUAAGAGUGACUCUGAAACAAACAUGGUAUCUCUGCUUCGCCAUGCUCAUCAGAUAAACCCUUUGACCCUUGGUAUUUCCGUGAGUUCCCAAACUUGUAUGUUGACACAAUUUUUGUAUGUCUUAUUUUCGUUCACAAUCAUGUCUUUUGCAUGUGCUGGCCCUUUUGUCUAGCUUUGUGCAAUUGAAGAAACUGGUAGCCAAUUUUGAAAUCUUUUCUCACUUGUUUUGGCAUAGACUUAACUUAAGACAAGAAAAAAUGACAAUGAUUUUUUGGAUAACUCACUCAAGAAAAUAAAAUAAAAAUAAAAUAAAGAAGGAAAGAAAAGACCAUGAAUGUCCCCAUUUGAAAUAAGGAAAUGAAAAUUUAUCUAAAAAUGACAGUCAAGACUAAUGAUUAUGCCAUGCAUUUUGAUAAUCUGCCUGAUCUUUCCAUCCACACUUUCACCAAUUGUUAUUGAGUUAAUGGCCUUGACAAAUGAUUUGCUUCAUUAGGUCAAUUGAAUUUAAGACCUCAUUCAGCUAGUGACACCUUGAAGGGUUUUUGCCACCAAGCCUCUCUCAUUUUCUUUUUCUCAGUUCACCAUUGGAUUAUGGUGUCUGUGAGGGUUUUCACCAAUAAGACUCUCUCAUUUUCAUUUCUGUCCACUUAAAAUCGUCUUAUAGUUCUCGUGAGGGUUUUAAUCGAUAAGACUUUCUCAUUUUAUCUCUCUCAACUUACCAUCGUCUUACGUUGCCUAGGAGGUUUUUCACCAAUAAAACUCUCUCAUUUUUUAUUUCUCUCCUAAUUUCUUAUGCUGAGGAAGACAAGUAGAUCCCAAAUGCAUCAUCAUAUCCCUUGCAUGCUUAACCUUGACAUCCUCAAAGAUUGAUCUGAAGGUCUUUCUUUGGUUGUAACUUGGCUUUUUGAUAGGGUUAGAAAGAAAGGAUGGCAUGAGGCCCCAAACGAUACUUGAAAUGGGGUGGAACUUACAACUUUUGGAAUUGAGUCAAAUAAUGAGGAUUAACUCAUGCCCCAGUUUCUUUUGACUGGGUAACUCUAAAUAAUUUAUUUGGUUGGACCGAGCCCAGGAUAGGACAGCCUACGUAUCUCACCCCCCUAAAGAGGAGAACUAGGUCACGCGUAGUUCUGGCAGCUUGUUAUUUUGAUUGAUUUUGAUUUUUUUGUUUUUCUCUUUUAUUAACUCUUUUCUUUUGGGUAUUUUUUCUUACUCUAUUUUUUCUUGACACUCUCUUCUCCCCUUUUUUUUUCUUUUUAAUAUACUUUUUCUUUCUUCUCUUUUUUUCUGACUCUAUUGUUUUGCUAAACACUUUCUUUUAAGCUUGCUAACUCUAUCUUGAUUCCAAAAGAGGGGUAUGAAAGAAAAUAGUAAUUGGCUCAAAUAGGGGUAAACAAAGGAUGACACAAUGUUUUGAUAGCAAAAUGAAAUGUCUUCAUCAUAUCAAUCUUUGAAAAUGCAAGUACAUAUAUGCAAUAUUAAAUGAAAGAUAAAGAUCAUUUGGGACACUUUAACAAUCACUAACUUCAACUGAGCAUGUGUGCCAAUUCUUCUUCUACCCUUGUCAAACAUACAACUCCAUUUUCGUUGUACAUUCCUCAUGCUGAAGGACUUCUGACUUCGUGGGGCUGAUUUUCUUUCAGUUUCUUUUGUCAUAGGAUCGUACAUUCACUACUUGACCUAAUUAAGAUAUGUCUUUCAAUUGAUGACCAAGUUAUUCUCAUGAUUCUCAAAAUAAUUACCUUAAUUUUCAAAGAGGCUUCAACUUGAUCACUAAAUGCCUCAGUACUCUAUCUAUUUUCUCAGAUGCUCUCUUUUUCUAACUUUAACCCUCUGAUUUAAUGUUCAUGGUUAAACUGGAUUUUAAGAUCUGGCUGGAAAUUCCGCAAGCAUUUCAUAUCACUAUAGUCAACAUAAAAUGUACUGUAUAAAGAAAAAAAACAACACAUAUUUUAGAACACAAAGGAAAAGAGACAAUUCAUUUAGUUGAAAUAAAAGAUAGAAUGGUUUGAACAUAAACGACAAAAGGACAAAACAAGAUAGAUGCUAAACUACAACCCUGAAAUAAUUCGAAAAAAAAAAAAGAAAACAAAACAAACUAACAGACCUCUUCCUAGUAGAGAGAGGGGUGACUUCUCAGUUGCUCAACCUGACAGCUUAGCCACUGGUUUGCAUAUCAUCAUGACUAGAGCUUUCCUCACUGUUAAUACUCUACACCAUAAUUGAUCCAUCUUAAAUCAUCUUUUCAAUUUCUCUUUUCAAAUCUCGAUAAUCUUCAAUACUAUGACCCUGAGCAUAAGAAUGAUGCACAUAUCAUACAUUGGGAUCAAAAUUUCUUUAAUGCCGAUUAAGAGUGUGCCCAAGGAGAGGAGUAAUCAUGCCCCUCUGUCUCAAUCUCUGGAAUAAAAAGGCAUAAGAUUCCCCAAUAGAAGUGAAAUUAUCCUUUUCCUUCCUCAUCUUUGCAAACUAUGGCCUAGGAUGAAACGUGAAUUUAGAGGUUCCUUGGUAAAUUUGUGGGGGUUAAGGAUGAUGUUGAGGGACAGGUGCAUGUCAUUAUGGAUAAGAAGACGGAUGGGUAAACAAUUGUGCAUUAUUCAAAGGACAUUGAGGAAGUGGAAUGAAACUCCUUAGAUUUUGAAAAGAGAAACCUUGUUGCAGAUGAGUAAGUGGAUUUGAUAUGUAAGCUUGGGAUUGAGGCUGACAGUAUUGGUGAUUUGGACCUCUUAAACAUUGCUUUGGCCCUGGCACGACAACAGGGGAGUUUUCCUUCUUCCUUCCUUCGGUUUCCCUUAAUCGAUUGUAAUAUCAUCCCAAAUGUUUCAUAGAAUCAUUCUGUCCAUCAAGAUCCUCAAAUUUUGAUAUCUCAAAGCUUGCAGGAAGGCCAACACUUAAAGGACAUUGAGGAAGUGGAAUGAAACUCCUUAGAUUUUGAAAAGAGAAACCUUGUUGCAGAUGAGUAAGUGGAUUUGAUAUGUAAGCUUGGGAUUGAGGCUGACAGUAUUGGUGAUUUGGACCUCUUAAACAUUGCUUUGGCCCUGGCACGACAACAGGGGAGUUUUCCUUCUUCCUUCCUUCGGUUUCCCUUAAUCGAUUGUAAUAUCAUCCCAAAUGUUUCAUAGAAUCAUUCUGUCCAUCAAGAUCCUCAAAUUUUGAUAUCUCAAAGCUUGCAGGAAGGCCAACACUUGAAAACAUGCCCCAAUUUUUAUAUGAAACAUCUUUAUAGUCCACAAGUCCCAAGGAACUUUUCAUAUUAUUUUCUACACUCUUAACUUUCCCAACCAUUUUCUCUGGCUCUUCUAGCAUGCUAACCUUCUUAGUAAGAAAUUUUGGCGGCCCACUUAACUUAACUAUAGGCUCAAGAGUAUAACAAUGAUCAUCAAGAGUAUUGAAUGUGGAUUCACUAGUGGACUGGGGAAGCACAAUCAUUGGAUUGAUAGCCAAAGUGGAAGCCUUAGUAGAGGGUUGAGCAACAAAAGCACAAACGGUAUGUGGUACUGUGAAUGUGAUAGACUUAUACUGAGGAGCUAAAGAAAUAGUGCUGGAAGUAUUGAGGUGCAUUUAAUGUGGAAUGGAUUCUGAGGCAUGUUGUGGUGCAUUAACAACAGUAGGAAACUUAAUUUGCGAUUUUGGUGGAAGACUCAAGGUAUUUGCAGGGUCAAAAGUGGGGAACGGGGAUGGAGGCAUCCCACUGUCCCAAGCUCGAUACAUUUCCAUCAUUUGCUGCCUUGAUUUCCGAAUCUCUUCAUUAGCUUCUAAAUUCUCAUUCCCCAAACUCCCUAGCUAAUUAUUGACAACUAACUCGGUAUCCUUGUUGGCCAUAACUUUCUCUGUGACUUGGAACAAUAUGGAGGACCAGCUAAAAUGCUACAAACCAACCACCUUAAACUAACUAGACAAGAGAUAGCAAAUACGUUAGAGUUCAACAAUUUUUCAAAACCUCUUUUUUUUUUUUGAAAAGAUCACCAAACCCAAGAAGGGCACCUAUACGAAAUGAAACAUAUGAUUACCAAAGAAAAUCAUUCUUGAUUUUCAAUUUUGAAUUUCAUACGGAAAUGAAAAUUGGAACUAUUAAAGAAAGAUCUUGUUGUAGUUUUCUAUUAAAGAAGUAUAUGAUACCUACUCUAAAUAAAGAGUGAAGAAAUUUUUUUUGGAUUUUUGAAAUAAGAUCCCCGAACCAACAAUAGGCUGCCUACGUAUCUCACCCCCAAAAGAGGAAAAUCAGGGGUCCCGGGAGAGGAGAAUCACGGGUGCGUAGUUUGUCCAGAUUGGACAAUUAAGGACUAUAGAAUAAACAAAACCUUGACUUGAGAGACGCGACUGCAUGAUGAAAAUAAAUUUUUUUAAGGUUUUUACUUUGACACUUCAUAAAAAAAAUGACACCAACAACUAUGAAAGAAAACUCUAUUUGAAAUUUUCGAAUUACGAAUUUAUGGUAAAGGAAUAAAAGGAAAAUCUUUUUAAUGUUUUUGAGAAAAUGAGUGCGUAAGGUAAAAAAAAAUCAUUUUGAAUAUUUGGAUUGUGAAAAAAAAUCAGAAGUCAUAAAGAACUCUAAAAACUUAUGAAACACUCUUUUUUUUUCUUUUCGACUAACUUUUUUUCUAUUUUUUUUUCAACAUUUCUUGCCUACGCACUUUAUCUCUAACACAUGCUUUCCCCAAAUUAGUCCGACAAAUGACCACGUUACCCUCAAAGAUCCAACAUUUAGCACGUAGGGAUGCUUUAGAGAUGAGUCUCCUACAAAGGACCACGUAGGUCCCGCUAGGUCUCAAUAUGAUGCAGAUAAGAAUGACAUAAAGGCUAACCUACGCUGGGUCCACUAACAAGGCUGUUCGGGGGAGAAUAUGGUCGAUAGUGGAUUGCUUUAGCUGUCCACCUACUCCAUACAACCCAACAGCUCCCCUUCCUAAAAUAAGGGUGACUCAAAUAUAGGUCGUGUACACAAGUGUACUACGACUUCUUUCAGAAAGAAAAACUCGGGUUAUACACAUGAUGCCAGAUAUAAAGCGGUAAUACAUAAAGUAAAAACUGUAAACAAAGAGCACGUAAGCACUCAACAAUGACAAACAAUAACAAAAAAAAACAACACAAAUAAAAUGUCUAUAAACCUAUAGUGCCAAACUAAGCUGAUACUACUCCAAAAUAAGCUCGAAUUCUAAAAAAUCCCCAGCAGAGUCGCCAGAGCUGUCACACCCCUUUUUAACUCCCAAAAAGAAUUGAUUUUAAAGUUUGAAAGGGUUUUUAUAAUUAAAGUGACAAAAGAUUAAAAAUUUAUUCCGAAAAAGGAUUAUUUAUAUUUAAAACUUAGAGUCGCCACUUGGCAUAAUUCGGUGUGCCAAGUCACCUUUGGAAAAUCCUUUUCAAAAUGAUUUGACUCUUUAAAAUUGGUUUAAGAAUAGAUAUUUUGGCUAAGGAAUUCUGUUGACUGAGAGGAAGGUGUUAGGCACCCUCGAUCCCGUUGUUCAACCACGGUCAAUUGGUGGAGAAUAUCGGUUAAUUUGACACUACAAAUGUAUAAAACACACAAAAAUAAUCAAUCAAAACAAAACAAAUCCAAAAUCAUAAUGUUCAGUCCAAUUAUAUAGUCUAAAAUAGAAAAAUGCGAAAAAAUAUAAAUCCUAUUCUAAACUAAUCAUAGACUAAGCUCCACCCGACGUCUCGGGCCUUUGUCAUGAACGUCCUCCGAGUAAAAAAUACUUUGGGACAUUCUCCAGCAAAUAAAUACAAAUACCUCAGGGCAUUCCUCAUCCAAAAAAUACAUUCGAUCAAAAAUCAAUAAAGCCAAACCAUUCAACACACAUUUCAAGCAUUCAAUAUUCCACAAAUCCUCGAUUUGCCUACCCGAACAUAAACUUUGCCUACUAAGUUUUUGGCCUAAAAUAUACUCCUAUCGAGUUCACAAACUUGAUAUUUAUUCCAAAUUAAACAAAACAACAAUAAACCAAAAUUUACCUAAAUUCACCCUUUUCAUCAAUUUCUAAAUUCCACCCCAAAUUUCAUUUUAUCAAUCGCACCAUUAAAACUAAUCAAAUUCGUUCCUCGUACCACCGGAGUCACAUCACCAAGAACAUGAUUAUAACAUCAACAACAUCAAACAAUUAUAAUCACCCAACACAUAAUCAUAGUCAUGUCAACAAAAUAAAAUAAAGAAGAAUGAAUGGGAGUAAAGAGAUGGACCUCAAUUUGAUGCUUUAUUUCAAUCAAUUGAUCUUUUUGAAUAGAACCGCGUCCAAAAAAAACCUCAACAUCGAACCUUAAUUAGAAACCCAAAUCAACAACUUUGAUCCUGAACUCCAAUUUACUCAAGCCCGAUUGCGAGCAAACAAAAAAUUAAAAUUGAGGCUUUGAAUGGGAAAAAACAGAAGCCUGUAUGAAUGUUUCCAAAUGAGAAUUAACCAGACUCAGCCUAAAAAAGUGAUCAAUUCAAACCAUUGGUGACUAGAAUUAAAUGUUUUCCGGCGAAAGGAUGCUAUUUCCAGCCAAGAACGCCAGAAUAGUCAACCCCAAUCCCUUUUCUCUCCUCUCUUGCUCAAAUAUCUCCUUCUCCUCUCUAUUUCUUCCUCUCUCCAACCAGUUCUCUCUCUCGAUACUUUCUUCAAUCAAUCUCUUCUCUGUUUUUACUCAACUUUACCCGAUUUUUAAUUCUCUAAUCCAGAUGUGUGUGUGAGUUUAUUGGUUUAUUUCUUGGUGUAAUGUUUCUAUAGGUGUGCACUGGUGAGUAUAUCAGUGUUUUUCCAUCUCUCUCUACUCUAGGUGUGUGCGCAGCAGCAUAAAAAGGAGAAGAAAAAUAAAGUCCUCAAUAAUAGCCUCCCCUCCCCUGUGAAAUCAUCCCUGUGGGAUAUGUAUUGAGUGCGUUUUAAUGGAUUCUCGAUGAAUGAUAUUGUAUAAGUGUGUGAUUAAUUAUCUUCUGUGAAUGGAAUGGGAAAAGAUGGUCAGG
This 7887-nucleotide long non-coding RNA is filed under the name Capsicum annuum. RNAcentral's name for it is "long non-coding RNA (CANN_LNC022262)". The record is from RNAcentral. Lineage: Eukaryota; Viridiplantae; Streptophyta; Magnoliopsida; Solanales; Solanaceae.